UCAGUUCGGAUUGCAGGCUGCAACUCGCCUGCAUGAAGCUGGAAUUGCUAGUAAUCGCGGAUCAGCAAGCCGCGGUGAAUACGUUCCCGGGCCUUGUACACACCGCCCGUCACACCAUGAGAGUCGGGAACACCCGAAGUCCGUAGUCUAACCGCGAAGGGGGGGCGCGGCCGAAGGUGGGUCCGGUAAUUGGGGUGAAGUCGUAACAAGGUAGC
Molecule: ribosomal RNA, 215 nt
Filed under: uncultured bacterium
Lineage: Bacteria
Description: partial 16S ribosomal RNA
Rfam family: Bacterial small subunit ribosomal RNA
Source: RNAcentral